UUCGUCGACUUCGGAGGAACUCCUUCUGGUAAGGGUUCGGUAUGGGAUUCCUCCGGAGUACGAUCUGGAGCUCCCUGGUCCCUCCGAUCGGGCCUGCACUCUCCCCCCGAUCGCUUCUGUUUGUAUCAGGAAGCGUUCCGUGCCGGACUCCAGCUUCCGCUUCCUGCCUUCGUCGCUGCCUUCUUCCGCUUCUUGGACAUCUCUCUUGCUUCCGUGGCCCCGAACUCC
This 228-nucleotide long non-coding RNA is filed under the name Elaeis guineensis (African oil palm). RNAcentral describes it as "long non-coding RNA (EGUI_LNC034751)". The record is from RNAcentral. Lineage: Eukaryota; Viridiplantae; Streptophyta; Magnoliopsida; Arecales; Arecaceae.